UCCGUUUGAUCCUGACGGACCUGACUGCUAUCAGAUUGAUACUAAGCCAUGUUAGUUAUUGUAGUAAUACAAGGCAGACGGCUCAGUAACACGUAGUCAACCUAACUUAUGGACGGGGAUAACCUCGGGAAACUGAGAAUAAUACCCGAUAGGUCAUGAUGCCUGGAAUGGUUUAUGACUCAAAUAAUUUAUUGCCGUAGGAUGGGACUGCGAGCUAUCAGCUUGUUGGUGAGGUAAUGGCCCACCAAGGCUAUUACAGCUACGGGCUCUGAGAGGAGUAGCCCGGAGAUGGGUACUGAGACAAGGACCCAGGCCCUAUGGGGCGCAGCAGGCGAGAAAACUUUGCAAUGCGCGAAAGCUCGACAAGGUUAAUCUGAGUGGUUCCUGCUAAAGGAACCUUUUGUUAGUCGUAGAACCACUGAUGAAUAAGGGGUGGGCAAGUUCUGGUGUCAGCCGCCGCGGUAAAACCAGCACCUCAAGUGGUCAGGAUGAUUAUUGGGCCUAAAGCAUCCGUAGCCUGUUCUGUAAGUUUUCGGUUAAAUCCAUAAGCUCAACUUAUGGGCUGCCGAAAAUACUGCAGAACUAGGGAGUGGGAGAGGUAGACGGUACUCGGUAGGAAGGGGUAAAAUCCUUUGAUCUAUUGAUGACCACCUGUGGCGAAGGCGGUCUACCAGAACACGUUCGACGGUGAGGGAUGAAAGCUGGGGGAGCAAACCGGAUUAGAUACCCGGGUAGUCCCAGCUGUAAACGAUGCAAACUCGAUGAUGCGUUGGCUUGUUGCUAGCGCAGUGUCGCAGGGAAGCCGUUAAGUUUGCCGCCUGGGAAGUACGUACGCAAGUAUGAAACUUAAAGGAAUUGGCGGGGGAGCACCACAAGGGGUGAAGCCUGCGGUUCAAUUGGAGUCAACGCCUGAAACCUUACCCGGAGAGACAGCAGAAUGAAGGUCAAGCUGAAGACUUUACCAGACAAGCUGAGAGGUGGUGCAUGGCCGUCGCCAGCUCGUGCCGUGAGAUGUCCUGUUAAGUCAGGUAACGAGCG
Molecule: ribosomal RNA, 1038 nt
Filed under: marine metagenome
Description: bacterial SSU rRNA
Rfam family: Archaeal small subunit ribosomal RNA
Source: RNAcentral